Molecule: ribosomal RNA, 292 nt
Filed under: uncultured bacterium
Lineage: Bacteria
Description: partial 16S ribosomal RNA
Rfam family: Bacterial small subunit ribosomal RNA
Source: RNAcentral
GUGUCAGCAGCCGCGGUAAUACGUAGACCUCAAGCGUUAUCCGGAUUUAUUGGGCGUAAAGCGCGUGUAGGAGGUUCUGUGCGUCUCAUGUUAAAGCCCACCGCCUAACGGUGGAAGUGCGUGGGAUACGGCAGGACUUGAGGGGGUUAGAGGUGUGUGGAACUCACGGUGUAGGGGUGACAUCCGUUGAUAUCGUGGGGAACACCGAAGGCGAAGGCAGCACACUGGGACCUUCCUGACUCUGAGACGCGAAAGCGUGGGGAGCAAAAAGGAUUAGAUACCCUGGUAGUCC